GAAUUACUGUGUGAAGGAACGGCUUCACUUUUGAUUAGGGAAAUAAUAUGCUUACUUUUGGGUUUAUGAAGAUCUCGUAACAAUCUGGGGGAGAUGCCGGGGUAAAAAGAGUGAGCUCGGACGAAGGGGUCCGAGAAAAGAACACCGUGAAGUUGAGCAAGGUGUUUUAACUGACUCAGGAUUUCAGAGAAUCGAGUCAGCUGUGAUCUCGAGUUUUAAUGGAGAAGAUUUCAGGACCACAGCAACCACAGGGGUGGCAAGAAUCCUGGAAGCCUGAGAUCGAACGGAACCAACCAGAGAAAGGAGAAAAACAGAGCACAAAUACACCUAGUUGUUUAUAUUACAAAGAAGAUCAAAAGCUUGUUAGACAUAGGUUAUAAUGGAAGCAUAAAAGGGAUGAGAGGAACUUUACAUAACAUAGAAAUCCUGCAACAAUUCGUAAAUUGCCCAAACACAGUGUUCAGACUGGAUAUGCGCUACCCGUUAAAGGGGGCGAAGAAAUCAGGCCUAAGUUUGAAAAAUGAAAUGGGUUAACUCGAUAGAGGAUGUUUCCAAAGGUCGAGAAAAUAAUGUAGGACCUUUUACCAGGAGAAAGCUAAUUGUAUCUUUUACACUUUACAGUGUGCACUGAGGGAAGUCAGGAAUAGUUUAAAUUAGGAUUGAAAAAAUUAAACUAGGUGAAAAGGGGUGUAGCAAGUAGAUUUAGGGCAGCUCACAGCCUGGCGUAAACGCAAGGUGCCGUCACACAGCUUAAGUUAUUUGUUUGAUUUAUUUUAAACAUUGAAAACAUACAACCCGUUGAGGAGACAGACAGGGUUGGGGAAUUGAAAGGUUUUGUUUGUUUAGCAUAAUUUCUUUUGUUAUAUUUUAGCUUUAACAGGAACAUGCCUCUCUGGAGCUUCUCUCCUGAUGCUACCCUGCCAAAGACCCUUAUCCAUAGAGACUAUGUCAGCUCCCAAACAGACAGCAACAAACCAAAUCUAGCAAUAAAACAACUUAAACAUCAAUAGUAACAAAGCAAGAACAAUACAGAAUCCACAUUUAACCGAAGAAUAAAACAGUGAAAUGUGGAUUAUUAAAUAUUAGGUCUCUCUCUUCAAAGCCUCUGUUGGCUCACGCCGAGCGGUCGCAGCAGAUGGUUGCCCGUACCUGAGCGUGGUUCUGUCGGAGGUUUCUUCCUGUUAAAAGGGAGUUUUUCCUUCCCACUGUUGCCAAAGUGCUUGCUCAAUAGGGGGUCACAAGAUUGUUGGGUUUUUCUCUGUAUCUAUGAAGCACCUUGAGGCAACUUUUGUUGUGAUUUGGCGCUAUAUAAAUAAAAUUCAAUUGAAUUGUAUUGAAGUAAACUUAAUGUGAUAAAUUAGGAAUUAGUUCAUUUCUCAAGUGAGAAAUGAAAAAGGGGGACUGGUGUUAGGAAUAAAAGAAAUAUUUUUAAUGUGUACUCUAAUAAUGAAGGCUUGUAGAGCAAGGCUACCUUUGACUUACAAACAAGAGCUCAGCCAGACUGAAAAACAGGAAGUUUUAGUGCACAAGGCAUAUUAAUAGAUAUAGACACAAAAAAGAGGAACUCCCCAUACAAACAAUGUUCAAGACUGUGUGACGUGUAAAGUACCGAAAUAAUACCAUAUAGGUCACAGCUGAUGAUUCUAAUGUUAGAGAGCUCUUGCAACUGGCGUCUGAGCUGUGCAGAGGUCUCUCACCCCGGAAGAUGAUUGAAUAAAGAAAGACAGGUACUUAUGUAUGUCAGCAUAAGGUGGAGUCCAACAGAAGCAAGGCACCCUACAUGCGCACAGCAUGCAGCAGGGGUUGCCAAAACAAUAUAGAAAACAGCACAUGUAGUGAGAGAACACCCACCAAAAGUUCUGACUACACAUAGUGUGGUGGCAUAGGUGAACUCGCAGGCGUUCACUAUGACAUCAUUAGCACAACAGAGACUGAGUAAAGUUUUAGAUGCUCCAAAUCUGACAUUUACACAUGAAGGAAUCAAUCAGGAGAACCUCAUGAUUGUACUAAGAAAGCAGAAGUUGAAGGAAAGUUAGGGAAGAUUUACAAGCAGAACCUAUCCCUGGAGCUGAGGAUUGGUUCAUAGAUGGCUGCUGUCAUCGUGAUGAAGAAGGAUCGAAAGCAGGCUAUGCUAUAGUCUGCAAGCAAGGAACUGAAUUUGAGC
This is a long non-coding RNA of Oreochromis aureus, 2164 nucleotides long. The record is from Ensembl. Lineage: Eukaryota; Metazoa; Chordata; Actinopteri; Cichliformes; Cichlidae.